RNAcentral lists this ribosomal RNA (495 nucleotides) under uncultured bacterium. RNAcentral describes it as "partial 16S ribosomal RNA". It matches the Rfam family "Bacterial small subunit ribosomal RNA", at positions 28 to 507 of the family's 1533-position model. The record is from RNAcentral.
GAUGAACGCUGGCGGCGUGCCUAAUACAUGCAAGUAGAACGCUGAAGGAGGAGCUUGCUCUUCUGGAUGAGUUGCGAACGGGUGAGUAACGCGUAGGUAACCUCCCUGGUAGCGGGGGAUAACUAUUGGAAACGCUAGCUAAUACCGCAGGACAACAGUUAUUGCAUGAUAACUGUUUAAAAGAGGCAACUGCUCCACUACCAGAUGGACCUGCGUUGUAUUAGCUAGUUGGUGAUGUAACGGCUCACCAAGGCGACGAUAGAUAGCCGACCUCGGAAGGGGAUCCGCCAAAAUGGGACUGGGAAACGGGCCAAGCUCCUACGGGAGGCAGCAGGAGGGAAUCCUCGGCAAUGGACGGAAGGCUGACCGAGCAACGCCGCGUGAGUGGAGGAGGUUUUCGGAUCGUAAAGCUCUGGUGUAAGGGAAGAACGAGUGGGAGAGGGGAAAGUUCACACUUUGACGGUAUCUUACCAGAAAGGGACGGCUAACUACGUG